GCCAGUGAGGCAUAGUGGUUUGAGUGUUGGACUACAACUCUGGAGACGAGGGUUCAAAUCCCAGCUCAGCCA
Molecule: transfer RNA, 72 nt
Filed under: Phrynosoma platyrhinos (Desert horned lizard)
Lineage: Eukaryota; Metazoa; Chordata; Lepidosauria; Squamata; Phrynosomatidae
Description: tRNA-OTHER
Source: RNAcentral